Molecule: ribosomal RNA, 491 nt
Filed under: uncultured bacterium
Lineage: Bacteria
Description: partial 16S ribosomal RNA
Rfam family: Bacterial small subunit ribosomal RNA
Source: RNAcentral
AGUGAACGCUGGCGGUAGGCCUAACACAUGCAAGUCGAACGGCAGCACAGUAAGAGCUUGCUCUUACGGGUGGCGAGUGGCGGACGGGUGAGGAAUACAUCGGAAUCUACUUUUUCGUGGGGGAUAACGUAGGGAAACUUACGCUAAUACCGCAUACGACCUACGGGUGAAAGCAGGGGAUCUUCGGACCUUGCGCGAUUGAAUGAGCCGAUGUCGGAUUAGCUAGUUGGCGGGGUAAAGGCCCACCAAGGCGACGAUCCGUAGCUGGUCUGAGAGGAUGAUCGGCCACACUGGAACUGAGACACGGUCCAGACUCCUACGGGAGGCAGCAGUGGGAAAUUUUGGACAAUGGGCGCAAGCCUGAUCCAGCCAUACCGCGUGGGUGAAGAAGGCCUUCGGGUUGUAAAGCCCUUUUGUUGGGAAAGAAAAGCAGCAGGUUAAUACCCCGCUGUUCUGACGGUACCCAAAGAAUAAGCACCGGCUAACUUCGG